This 464-nucleotide ribosomal RNA is filed under the name Rhizopus delemar. RNAcentral describes it as "partial large subunit ribosomal RNA". It matches the Rfam family "Eukaryotic large subunit ribosomal RNA", at positions 81 to 544 of the family's 3401-position model. The record is from RNAcentral. Lineage: Eukaryota; Fungi; Mucoromycota; Mucoromycetes; Mucorales; Rhizopodaceae.
UAGUACGGCGAGUGAAGAGGAAGAGCUCAAAGUUGGAACCUGUUUGGCCUAGCUAAACCGGAUUGUAGACUGUAGAAGUGUUUUCCAGGCAAGCCGAGUAAAUAAGUCCUUUGGAACAGGGCAUCAUAGAGGGUGAGAAUCCCGUCUUUGGCUUGAGCAUUUGCCUUUUGUGAUACGCUUUCAAAGAGUCAGGUUGUUUGGGAAUGCAGCCUAAAUUGGGUGGUAAAUCUCACCUAAAGCUAAAUAUUGGCGAGAAACCGAUAGCGAACAAGUACCGUGAGGGAAAGAUGAAAAGAACUUUGAAAAGAGAGUUAAACAGUAUGUGAAAUUGUUAAAAGGGAACCGUUUGGAGCCAGACUGGCUUGUCUGUAAUCAAUCUAGGCUUCGGCCUGGAUGGACUUGGAGGCUAUGCCUGCCAACGACAAUUUGACUUGAGGGAAAAAACUAAGGGAAAUGUGGGGCCA